Molecule: ribosomal RNA, 387 nt
Filed under: uncultured bacterium
Lineage: Bacteria
Description: bacterial SSU rRNA
Rfam family: Bacterial small subunit ribosomal RNA
Source: RNAcentral
GACGAACGCUGGCGGCGUGCUUAACACAUGCAAGUCGAGCGGUAAGGCCCUUUCGGGGGUACACGAGCGGCGAACGGGUGAGUAACACGUGGGUGACCUGCCCUCAGCUCUGGGAUAAGCCCGGGAAACCGGGUCUAAUACCGGAUAUGACUCCAUGACGCAUGUUGUGGGGUGGAAAGCCUUGUGCGGCUGAGGAUGGGCCCGCGGCCUAUCAGCUUGUUGGUGGGGUGAUGGCCACCAAGGCGACGACGGGUAGCCGGCCUGAGAGGGCGACCGGCCACACUGGGACUGAGACACGGCCCAGACUCCUACGGGAGGCAGCAGUGGGGAAUCUUGCGCAAUGGGCGAAAGCCUGACGCAGCGACGCCGCGUGAGGGAUGACGGCCU